CCCUUAGAUGUUCUGGGCCGCACGCGCGCUACACUGAUGCAUUCAACGAGCCUAUCCUUGACCGACAGGUCCGGGUAAUCUUUGAAUCUGCAUCGUGACGGGGAUAGAUUAUUGCAAUUAUUAAUCUUCAACGAGGAAUGCCUAGUAGGCGCAAGCCAUCAGCUUGCGUCGAUUACGUCCCUGCCCUUUGUACACACCGCCCGUCGCUCCUACCGAUUGGGUGUGCUGGUGAAAUGUUCGGAUCGGCCGUUUGUCGCGGUUUCCGCGGCUCGUGGCUGAGAAGUUCAUUAAACCCUCCCACCUAGAGGAAGGAGAAGUCGUAACA
This 325-nucleotide ribosomal RNA is filed under the name uncultured eukaryote. RNAcentral describes it as "partial 18S ribosomal RNA". It matches the Rfam family "Eukaryotic small subunit ribosomal RNA", at positions 1470 to 1796 of the family's 1831-position model. The record is from RNAcentral.